GAUGAACGCUGGCGACGUGCCUAAUACAUGCAAGUCGAGCGAACGGACGAGAAGCUUGCUUCUCUGAUGUUAGCGGCGGACGGGUGAGUAACACGUGGAUAACCUACCUAUAAGACUGGGAUAACUUCGGGAAACCGUAGCUAAUACCGGAUAAUAUUUUGAACCGCAUGGUUCAAAAGUGAAAGACGGUCUUGCUGUCACUUAUAGAUGGAUCCGCGCUGCAUUAGCUAGUUGGUAAGGUAACGGCUUACCAAGGCAACGAUGCAUAGCCGACCUGAGAGGGUGAUCGGCCACACUGGAACUGAGACACGGUCCAGACUCCUACGGGAGGCAGCAGUAGGGAAUCUUCCGCAAUGGGGGAAAGCCUGACGGAGCAACGCCGCGUGAGUGAUGAAGGUCUUCGGAUCGGAAAACUCUGUUAUUAGGGAAGAACAUAUGUGUAAGUAACUGUGCACAUCUUGACGGUACCUGAUCAGAAAGCCACGGCUAACUACGUG
This 497-nucleotide ribosomal RNA is filed under the name uncultured bacterium. Its description in RNAcentral is "partial 16S ribosomal RNA". It matches the Rfam family "Bacterial small subunit ribosomal RNA", at positions 28 to 507 of the family's 1533-position model. The record is from RNAcentral.